AGAAUCAACGCUGGCGGCGUGCCUAACACAUGCAAGUCGCACGAGAAAGGGACUUCGGUCCUGAGUACAGUGGCGCACGGGUGAGUAACACGUGAAUAAUCUACCCCCCGAGUGGGGAAUAACUGAGAGAAAUCUUAGCUAAUACCGCAUAACACUUACGAGUCAAAGCAGCAAUGCGCUUGGAGAGGAGUUCGCGGCAGAUUAGUUAGUUGGCGGGGUAAUGGCCCACCAAGACGAUGAUCUGUAUCCGGCCUGAGAGGGCGCACGGACACACUGGAACUGAAACACGGUCCAGACUCCUACGGAGGCAGCAGUGGGGAAUUUUGCGCAAUGGGGGAAACCCUGACGCAGCAACGCCGCGUGGAGGAUGAAAUCCCUUGGGAUGUAAACUCCUUUCGAUCGGGAAGAUAAUGACGGUACCGAGAGAAGAAGCCCCGGCUAACUUCGUGCCAGCAGCCGC
Molecule: ribosomal RNA, 460 nt
Filed under: uncultured bacterium
Lineage: Bacteria
Description: SSU rRNA
Rfam family: Bacterial small subunit ribosomal RNA
Source: RNAcentral